AGUCACUGACAUUAGAUACCCGCGUAGUCCAGGGUGUAAACGCUGCAGACUUGGUGUUGGAGGCCCUUUGGGGGCAUUCAGUGCCGGAGAGAAGUUGUUAAGUCUGCUACUUGGGGAGUACGUCCGCAAGGAUGAAACUUAAGGGAAUUGGCGGGGGAGCACCGCAACGGGAGGAGCGUGCGGUUUAAUUGGAUUCAACACCGUAAAACUCACCAGGGAAGACUGUUACAUGAAGGCCGAGAUGAAGACUCUGCUAGAUUUUCAG
This 265-nucleotide ribosomal RNA is filed under the name uncultured archaeon. RNAcentral's name for it is "partial 16S ribosomal RNA". It matches the Rfam family "Archaeal small subunit ribosomal RNA", at positions 716 to 982 of the family's 1478-position model. The record is from RNAcentral.